UGCGCUGGUAAAGGGAGGGAGGGAAUGAGGCAAACAAGAAACAUGUAAUCACCCAAACAACCGUCCUUUCCCUCUGGAUUUGUGUCGUAAGAUAGCCUACAGUAUCUACUUCAAAGGAUGCACAGGGGGCCGCGAGACGGUUACAAUGGGACUUGAAGUUUCAGAUGAUGUCCAGUACGCCACGGCUGCUCCAGCCAAUAAACAAGGUGACUAACAAUGGAAGUGGACCAGGAAUGAAGAGAGGGAGACAGGGUAUAACCUCACAACACUCAGCAGGAGAGGGGGGGGGGGGGGG
Oncorhynchus masou masou (cherry salmon) is the source of this 295-nucleotide long non-coding RNA. RefSeq lists it as uncharacterized. The record is from RefSeq and is a predicted model, not a curated record. Lineage: Eukaryota; Metazoa; Chordata; Actinopteri; Salmoniformes; Salmonidae. The transcript is spliced from 3 exons.